GCAGUCGUGGCUGAGUGGUUAAGGCGAUUGACUAGAAAUCCAUUGCGAUCUCCCCGCACAGGUUCGAAUCCUGUCGACUGCA
This 82-nucleotide transfer RNA is filed under the name Ixodes scapularis (black-legged tick). It matches the Rfam family "tRNA". Rfam says of the family: Transfer RNA (tRNA) molecules are approximately 80 nucleotides in length. Their secondary structure includes four short double-helical elements and three loops (D, anti-codon, and T loops). The record is from Rfam by way of RNAcentral. Lineage: Eukaryota; Metazoa; Arthropoda; Arachnida; Ixodida; Ixodidae.